CUCCACGAGGAGACUGCGUGGCAGGCUGACUACCUAUUAUGCGAGUGCAGCAAGGAGCCAAGCGCACAAAGGAGUGAUGUGCUGCUGACUCCUUAUCACUCUGGGCACCAGAGGCCUAGCUCAAGGUUGAAAUCUUCUUGCAGCUGCAUAGGCUUUAAAGAACUCACCACUCCCCUCUCUUAGACAUGUGGGCUGUGAGGACUGGUGUACCAUGCUUUUUACGGAAGUGCAGCCAAAUACCCCUUCUCUCUCAUGUAAAAUUGCCUCCUUAUAAUGACUGUGUGUGACUCUGAAAUGUUUUGUUUGCUCUCAGAUUCAUCUUGAAUGUGAUCUUCCUUGGAAUUCUUGAAUAAACUAUUAUUAACU
Non-coding RNA from Oncorhynchus mykiss (rainbow trout), 366 nucleotides. NCBI's taxonomy places the organism in Eukaryota, Metazoa, Chordata, Actinopteri, Salmoniformes, Salmonidae. The record is from RefSeq and is a predicted model, not a curated record.